CGUAGAGUUUCGUAGUCCUCGGCGUCAGGAGUGAACGCGUGGCGGCGUGCCUAACACAUGCAAGUCGAACGAAGCAUGACCCAUGAGGGCCUUCGGGCGGAAUGGGUCAUGACUUAGUGGCGGACGGGUGAGUAACGCGUGGGUAACCUGCCCUAUACUGGGGGAUAACAGCUAGAAAUGGCUGCUAAUACCGCAUGAGCGCACAGUCCCGCAUGGGACAGUGCGGAAAACUCCGGUGGUAUAGGAUGGACCCGCGUCCGAUCAGCUGGUUGGUGGGGUAACGGGCCCACCAAGGCGACGAUCGGUAGCCGACCUGAGAGGGUGACCGGCCACAUUGGGGACUGAGACACGGCCCAAACUCCUACGGGAGGCAGCAGUGGGGGAUAUUGCACAAUGGGGGGAACCCUGAUGCAGCGACGCCGCGUGAGUGAAGGAGUACUCCGGUAUGUAAAGCUCUAUCAGCAGGGAAGAAGCAAGACGGUACCUGACCAAGAAGCCCCGGCUAACUACGUG
This 513-nucleotide ribosomal RNA is filed under the name uncultured Lachnospiraceae bacterium. RNAcentral's name for it is "bacterial SSU rRNA". It matches the Rfam family "Bacterial small subunit ribosomal RNA", at positions 1 to 507 of the family's 1533-position model. Lineage: Bacteria; Bacillati; Bacillota; Clostridia; Lachnospirales; Lachnospiraceae. The record is from RNAcentral.